AAAUUGAAGAGUUUGAUCAUGGCUCAGAUUGAACGCUGGCGGCAGGCCUAACACAUGCAAGUCGAACGGUAACAGGAAGAAGCUUGCUUCUUUGCUGACGAGUGGCGGACGGGUGAGUAAUGUCUGGGAAACUGCCUGAUGGAGGGGGAUAACUACUGGAAACGGUAGCUAAUACCGCAUAAUGUCGCAAGACCAA
This 196-nucleotide ribosomal RNA is filed under the name Escherichia coli. RNAcentral's name for it is "partial 16S ribosomal RNA". It matches the Rfam family "Bacterial small subunit ribosomal RNA", at positions 1 to 204 of the family's 1533-position model. Lineage: Bacteria; Pseudomonadati; Pseudomonadota; Gammaproteobacteria; Enterobacterales; Enterobacteriaceae. The record is from RNAcentral.